This 1092-nucleotide long non-coding RNA is filed under the name Vombatus ursinus (common wombat). RNAcentral describes it as "lncRNA (ENSVURG00010013751.1)". Lineage: Eukaryota; Metazoa; Chordata; Mammalia; Diprotodontia; Vombatidae. The record is from RNAcentral.
CUGAGUUUCCUGCUUCCUCUGGCUGUUCUUGCUAUAUAAGGGCCCUCCUGUGCAGAGAUUGACAGGAGGAGGUAGAGAAGGAGAGCUUGGAUUCCUGCUGAAACUCCUCAGAGAGAUCCAGGAAGGAAGAUGCUUAAGAUUUGGGGGCUUGUUCUCUUCUAUGGACUGCUCACACAGAGCUCAGCCUACCCAAAAAGACACAAGCCAAUCCUGGCUCAUCCACAUGCAAAAGUACCUGUUCAAGCAGAAGCAUCAGCACGGGCAAACUUACUCUUAAAAACAGCUACCAGUUUACACAGUCAACUGUUGAACACAAAUACUCCCAGAAAUCUUAAGAAACUCUCCUUCAUGAAGGCUGUGCAUGCUAUUCAAGGUGGAUUGCUUGGAAAUUUGCAUGCAGGAAUGGAUGGCAAGUUUUUUGACCUGGAGUUAUCUUCGAUUAAAGUUAUAAAGGCUCAGAUCUUUGAUAUCAAUAUUACACAAAGUGAAGACAGACAUCAGCUAUUAGCAACAUUCCCUACAACCUUGGAUAUGGAAGCAAAUAUAAAGUUUCUUGGAAAUAUUGGCUUCGUAAUAGAAGUGAACAACAAAUUUCAGAUUGGAACAGAAAUGGAUGAAAAUGAAGAUGGUUACCUGGUCAUUCAGAAUUGUAACACUGACUUUGUCAGUUUACAAGUCAAAACUCAUAGUAGGAUACUCAAUUCUAUCUUGGAUGUAUUUAGAAGCGUUCUGAAUGCUGUGGUCCCCGAGCUGGUAGAGGAAGCACUCUGCUCGGCAGUCAGCACGUGCUUACCGAAGUUAGGUGUUAAACUGAAAACGGCUCUUGUGGAUGCAUUAAUAUGUGGAUAUGAUCUUAAUGCUAAUUAAUGAACCUUCCAGAAAGCAGACCAACUUUAUUCCAAACAGGACUUCAAGGUCAGAGACAAAUUGCUGUAUUUGGUGUCAGAAGAGAUGAAAUGUUUUGCAUCUUCCAGGGUCCAUCAAGUUCUUUUCCCUUGGAUUUGGAGCCAUUUUCCUUGCAUGAAUAUUCCCUCUGGGAAAUGUGUUUCUUCCCCCUGAUUUCUCUUAUAAUAAAUUUCCACUGUCUAAGCA